RNAcentral lists this ribosomal RNA (876 nucleotides) under uncultured bacterium. RNAcentral's name for it is "bacterial SSU rRNA". It matches the Rfam family "Bacterial small subunit ribosomal RNA", at positions 8 to 917 of the family's 1533-position model. The record is from RNAcentral.
AGAGUUUGAUCCUGGCUCAGGAUGAACGCUGGCGGCGUGGAUAAGGCAUGCAAGUCGAACGUUCCUUGUGUUUACAUAAGGAAAGUGGCAAACGGGGUAGUAACAGGUAGGAACAUACCCAUGAGUCGUGAAUAACUGCAGGAAACUGUAGCUAAUACACGAUAUCCCUACGGGGGAAAGAUUUAUCGCUCAUGGAAUGGCCUGCUUCGUAUCAGCUAGUUGGUAGUGUAAUGGACUUACCAAGGCUAUGACGCGUAGGGGAGCUGAGAGGCUGACCCCCACCAUUGGAACUGCGACACGGUCCAAACUCCUACGGGAGGCUGCAGUCGAGAAUCUUCCGCAAUGCACGAAAGUGUGACGGAGCGACGCCGCGUGAUGGAUGAAGUCCCUCGGGAUGUAAACAUCUUUUAUAAGCGAAGAAGUAUAUUGACAUUAACUUAUGAAUAAGAGGUUCCUAAACUCGUGCCAGCAGGAGCGGUAAUACGAGUACCUCAAGCGUUAUCCGGAAUUAUUGGGCGUAAAGGGUCCGUAGGUGGUCCUAUUAGUCAGUCGUGAAAGAUCCGUGCUCAACACGGGGACCGCGAUUGAAACGGUAGGACUUGAGUGUGCGAGAGGUGAACAGAACUCAUGGUGUAGGGGUGGAAUCCGUUGAUAUCAUGGGGAAUACCAAAAGCGAAGGCAGUUCACUGGCGCAUUACUGACACUAAGGGACGAAACCCUGGGUAGCGAAUGGGAUUAGAUACCCCAGUAGUCCAGGGCCUAAACGAUCUUGAUUAGUUUUUGGGAGUAUCGACCCUCUCAGAGACGUAGCUAACGCGUUAAAUCAAGCGCCUGGGAAGUACGAGCGCAAGCUUAAAACUCAAAGGAAUUGACGGG